GGGAAAAGCGGAAGCAAUUGUCCAAGGACCACAAAGCGGUCUAGGAACCCAGGGUGUCGCCUCUAGAGCUUUGGGGAAGUGGGGUUUCUCCCAGGAGGCAAGGGGUAGAAGCGAGGUAGGUGGCUUGGAAAAGUUCGGUAGUCGGACCUGGGCCGCAGAGGGCAAAGCGGCCACUCUUUCUGAGAGGCAGAGGUAGGUGGGCUCACCCUCCCACUCCGAGCCGGCCUGACCCUGGAUGCAGGCGGAAGGGGGGCAGCGGGGAGCGGAGGACUGUGCGGAGGCCUCGCUGCAGCUGCUGCACCCCCACCCCGCGUCGCCUCCCAGCCCUGGCUCCCAGUGCUCCGGGUUUGCUGAUGGUCCCGGAUGGACAGCCCGGAGAAGGCUUCCUGUGCAGGAAGACAUUCUCAUCAGAUCUCGUGUCCCGAAGCCCAGCGCUGCUGCCGGGGGUCUGACCCGGCCGCUCCGAGCACCCCUCCCCCGAGCCCUGGCUGGGCGAGAAACCGAGAUGGUGGCUGCAGAAACUGGAGCCCCGGCGCCGGGGCGACCGCGAGGGGCUGAGGCCUUUGAGAGCGCUGCCGCCCCUUGCCAAGAAAUUCUUCCUGUGGAAGACUGUCUUGCUGCCUACCGAAGAGCCUACCCAAGAAGUACUCCACUGUGCAACUGAACCAUCAAUCUUGUGCAACAAGAAGCAAGACAGGCCAGGCGUGGUGGCUCACACGUGUAAUCCCAGCACUUUGGGAGGCCGAGGUGGGUGGAUCACCUGAGGUCAGGAGUUUGAGACCACCCUGGCCAACAUGACGGAACCCCAUCUCUCUACUAAAAAUACAAAAAUUAGCCAAGCGUGGUGGCGGGCUCUUGUAAUUCCAGCUACUCAGGAGGCGGAGGCAGGAGAAUCUUUUGAACCUGGGAGGCAGAGGUUGCAAUGAGCCAAGAUGGCGCCAUUACACUCCAGAGUGAGACUCUGCCUCAGGAAAAAAAAAAAAAAAAAAAAAAAGGCAGUAGCAGCAAGACAGUCUUGUUGCCUACCUAAGAAGACUGCUGGAAAUCUCCAGUCUUCUUCGCUAACAGACCCUGAUCUUGUUCAGGCAACCAUGUGCCUAGAGAUUUUGCCAAUGAUCAGUUGAGGAGUGGUGUAAUUCCGACCAAGGAGAUGUUAAGAGGACAUCUUCUGGGAAAGCUUUUUCUUCCUGAAAAGAAGAAACGAGAAGCAAAUGCUCCAUGUUAUGCCUUCCUCUUUCCUCUUGUUUGGGACACUAUUGUGUGAUGGUAUGAUGUUUGGAGUUGUAGCAGCCACCUGGUGACCAUGAGGCAGCGACAAAGAGGAGUGCAGAAACAUUGAUCCAGAACCCUGGCAUAAGUGAGGGUCUAAACAUCCCUCCUUCCAACUUCCCGUUACGUGAGUAAUUAAAUGACUUUACUGCUUAAGACACAACUAGUUGGAUUUUCUGACAUUUGCAGCUGAAGGACUCUUACUUGAUAUAUUUUGUGAGUAAAGUUUUUAUUUUGGGAUAAUUGUAGAAACUCUAAAUCUUCAUGAGAUUGUGAAGCACUUGAUAUCCAGAUGAUGGUACAGACCCGCCUGGAGCUGUCCUCUCGAGUGGCCGUAUCAUGUCCACUUAGAGUGCGCCUCAGGGAGCUUCUGCCUUCUCUCCUUGUUCUCAGUCUUCGGACCUCUCGACACUCCUUUAGGAAAAAGGAAAGGGCUUCCUCCUCUGGGCCUCUGAGUCAGGCUGUCAGUCAGUCCGUUCCAUGCAGCUUUCCCCCACUGGAGCUAGGGGGAGAAGGCUUCAGGUCCCGGAUUAUCUUCUUAACAACCCAUGAAAAAGGCAUUGUUGCUCCAUUUUGUAGAAAAACUCAGUCAUGUUAGUAAAAAACCUGAUCAAGAUCACACGGUCAAUAACAGAGGAGCCCCACAACCUGGUCUUCCCAAAGUCACAGUCCUUAUACCUCAAUACCUGACCUCCCUUGGGCUUAAAUCAUGUCAGUAUCAAGCAGGUGAUGUGAACAUUGCUUUGGAUGGCGGCCAUGAAAAUGCCCCACUCAGAUUUCCUACUGCUGGGAGUGUCAUCGACCAAGGCCUCAGCUCCCAAGGCCAUGCUUCCUAUGGGCUUCCUUUCACCCAAGGCUGAGCACAGCAGGGGUGCUAAGACAGGACCAACCUUGGGAGAUGCAGGGCUCCUCUGAGGACAUCUUUAGCUCAAGGACUCCCAGUUGGUUCGACCAGAACUUUGCUAGAGCUGUGCUGAGUCUGAGACUUUGCUCAUCCAACCCUCCUUCCCUCUCUCUCUUCCUGGCAAGGGUCACACCUACAGCCUGGUCUCACAGUUCCCGCCUCUGCUGGCUCACUUCCCUUUUCCCUUCACAGAUGUUUUCCCCAAUAAAUCUCUUGCAUAUCUAAUCUUGUCUUGGGAUCUGGCUUCUUAGAGGACCUGAAUUAAUGUGCUUUGAUUUUUAACCCUCCAAACUCAACCUGGCAACCUGUCUGUAAAGCACCUGGCACAUACUAAGUUCUCUUCUCUUUUCCUCUCAGAGUGUGGGUGUUAUGAGUGGCCAAGAUGUGAGGCUGUUUCUGUCUCCAGUGGGAGCAAGGUGGACUGCCCUGUGACCAGAAGAAUAUGCACAUACCUGGAAACCUACGCAUCCUGAGGUUCAGAGAGGCUGAGGGACUCACCCGAGGCCACACAGCUCAUGCCUGAAUGCCCACACAGAUACACACACAGAUGCAUGGGAUGGGGAGACAAAGUCGGGGUGGAGAGACAGGGUCAGGAUGUAGUGUGGGGCAGGCAAAGGGCAUGAGGAAAGCAGCCCCUUCCUGCCCCUCCCUGCUGACUUCCCAGGCUGGUCUGUAUGUUUUGGUGUCAUGGCAACUGGCUGUGGGGGCUGCAUGUGGAAAGUGAAGCUUAACCUUAAGACACUGUGGGGAGCUAAAUGGGCCUAAAAGAUACCAGGUCUGUGAUUUUCCAGCCUCCCAGCCUUGCUCCAGCCUGGAGAUACUGCCAGCUCAGCCCAGCCCCCAGUCAUCAGGAAAUGCCUUUCUCUACUUACUCUUACUGCCUAUCCAGCCCAUUGGGCUCACUUGCAUGAUUUUACUAACUGAAUCUGGAAUCCUCUCUUCUCUUCUUGUUUGUCUAAAUCCUCUCUCUCUCUUAGAGUUAAGUUCCAGUCCCACAUUCUCUUGGAAGCCUUCCCCGAUUUCCCCAGCUCAUGGAGCUCUUUUCUUCCUCUGGUCACAGCUAGCAGUCACUGCACUAUCUGGAGCACUCACCUUAUGGCAUUUCAACUUUGUCCCCAUGCAAUUCAACAAGCUCCUAAUAUGUGCUGGACAUCGUGCUAAGUGCUGUAUGUUCCUGCGGGUAUCUUGGGGGCUAAAUCUACUCUAGGCUCAUGGCCGGGUGAGGUGGCUCACACCUGUAAUCCCAGCACUUUGGGAGGCUGAGGUGGGUGGAUCAUGAGGUCAGGGGAUCGAGACCAUCCUGGCUAACAUGGUGAAACCCCAUUUCUACUAAAAAUACAAAAAAUUAGCUGGGCGUGGUGGCGGGCACCUGUAGUCCCAGCUACUUGGGAGGCUGAGGCAGGAGAAUGGUGUGAACCUGGGAGGUGGAGCUUGCAGUGAGCUGAGAUCACACCACUGCACUCCAGCCUGGGCGACAGAGUGAGACUGUCUCAAAAAAAAAAAAAAAAAAAAAUCCACUCUAGGCUCGUUAGACUUCAGACAGGGAGCCCCUGACCGUCUAGCAUUUAUGGACCAUUUAUGACCAGGAGAGGCUCCCAUC
Molecule: long non-coding RNA, 3773 nt
Organism: Macaca mulatta (Rhesus monkey)
Lineage: Eukaryota; Metazoa; Chordata; Mammalia; Primates; Cercopithecidae
Source: Ensembl